AAAAUUUUUUUCUCUCUCUUUUUUGAACGAAUAUAUUUCAACAAUGAUAAAUAAGAACGAAUUUAAGAACAAGAAUGUAUGAAGACCCGUCUAUAUUUUGAACGGAUAAAAGCCCGUGUUUAAAAUUCCAAAUACCAUCAAGAAAGUUUAUCAGAUUCUGCUGCUGCCAUAGCAACCAUAAAACAACAGUUCUAAUAAAGGCAAGCCAAAAAUCAAAGCUUUUGAGUCCAUGAGCUGAAGUAUAUACUAUACAAUCUCUCGUCAUGUGCCCAGAUUUUAUUUUAGUAGGUAAAUUGCCAAUUAGAAUCAGUGAUGAUGAUCCUCAUCUUCAACAAGUCAGGGGGUCCACCCGGACCUAUGACAUCCAACACAAAGUAUUGUAAACAUACUGGGCAUUCAUGUGGCUUGCCCUUCUCUAGCCAAAACCAAACAACGUCAUGUUCAUCUUCGCCUUUAGCUCCCGAGCAUCCCAUAAUUCCUUUAUCAUGACCAGUUGCAAUUGGCAUUAUAAGCGCCACUUUUUUCACUGAAACGACAUUCCCAGAUGAAGUAUUAAUUUGGCAAUAGACAGUGGGGAGCCAGGCAUCAAACGAUGUUGGAACAAGGGACGAAACAAUUCGAGUGUGAAAUCAAGCAGGUUUGGAAGGGCAUCGGAUCGGGCCAAGAGUUCGGAGGUAUUCCUCCCGAAUUCCGAUUAGGGAUUGGAUUGUGAUCUGAUGUAGCCCCUUGUUUCCGUGAGAAAAUAGUUGCAAGUAUCUGGCCGUCCACAAUUGUUUGGAGGAAAAGGGUUGCAUUUCAUUCAAUUUUUAGUGGCCACUUGUUAAUUAUUAACGGUCUUAAUGGCCACAUAUGAAUUCUGUCUAUCACGUGAAGACUUUUCCCUAGUUGGAUGGAUAGAAGUGAAAUGGGUG
Molecule: long non-coding RNA, 911 nt
Filed under: Olea europaea subsp. europaea
Lineage: Eukaryota; Viridiplantae; Streptophyta; Magnoliopsida; Lamiales; Oleaceae
Source: RNAcentral